This 484-nucleotide ribosomal RNA is filed under the name uncultured bacterium. RNAcentral describes it as "partial 16S ribosomal RNA". It matches the Rfam family "Bacterial small subunit ribosomal RNA", at positions 30 to 507 of the family's 1533-position model. The record is from RNAcentral.
AUUGAACGCUGGCGGCAGGCCUAACCCAUGCAAGUCGCGCGGGUGUAGUGAGCUUGCUCUUCGUUUCAGCGGCUGACGGGCGCGUAAUGCCUCGGACUCUGCCCGGCAGUAGUUGAUACCGUCCGGAAACGGGCGCUAAUCCCGCACACGUCCUGAGGGUGACACUGGGGGAUUUUCGAUCCUCACGCUAUCAGAUGAGCCUGUGUCGGAUUAGCUAAUUAGUGUGGUAAAGGCCUACUACAGCGACGAUCCGUACCUCGUCUGAUAAGAUGACCAGUCACACUGUAACGUAGACACGGUCCAGACUCCUACGGGAGGCAGCAGUGGGGAAUAUUGGACAAUGGGCGGAAGCCUGAUCCAGCCAUGCCGCGUGUGUGAAGAAGGUCCUCGGAUUGUAAAGCACUUUAAGUUGGGAGGAAGGGCAGUAAGUGAAUACCUUGCUGUUUUGACGUUACCAACAGAAUAAGCACCGGCUAACUUCGUG